CCUUUUAGGGAGACCUUACCCCUUCCUUUUGAAAGUCCUAGGACAAGUAAAAAAGAAGCAGGUCAUCUCAAGGUCGGUCAGGAAUAUAGUGUUGGUUUCCAAACUGUCUGGUCUGGUUUUUCAACCAGUAUGGGCUAUUAGCUCAGGUGGUUAGAGCGCACCCCUGAUAAGGGUGAGGUCCCUGGUUCGAGUCCAGGAUGGCCCACCUUUCAAUCUUUACUUAUGUAGAGAUUGUUUGUGAGGGGGUUUAGCUCAGUUGGUAGAGCGCCUGCUUUGCAAGCAGGAUGUCAGCGGUUCGAGUCCGCUAACCUCCACUGAGUGAUUUAUUCACUCUAAAAGUGUUAACAAUUUAGCAACUUUAUUGUUGACAGAUUUAAUCUGUUUAGCAAUCAGUCUGCUGGAUUUGUUAUCCAGUCAGAACCUAGAAAACUGCAUAGAGAAAGAGUCAGGUAGAAAGAAUUACUUUAUGCGAUCAGCACAAGUAAUUCCUUCAUAGACACCAAUGAUUAGUAAUUG
Molecule: transfer RNA, 516 nt
Filed under: Alkalinema pantanalense CENA529
Lineage: Bacteria; Bacillati; Cyanobacteriota; Cyanophyceae; Leptolyngbyales; Leptolyngbyaceae
Description: 16S-23S ribosomal RNA intergenic spacer
Rfam family: tRNA (bases 242-314)
Source: RNAcentral